This 273-nucleotide ribosomal RNA is filed under the name uncultured bacterium. Its description in RNAcentral is "partial 16S ribosomal RNA". It matches the Rfam family "Bacterial small subunit ribosomal RNA", at positions 524 to 796 of the family's 1533-position model. The record is from RNAcentral.
UACGGAGGGUGCGAGCGUUGUCCGGAAUCACUGGGCGUAAAGGGCGCGUAGGCGGCUCAUUAAGUGGCUGGUGAAAUCCCGGGGCUCAACUCCGGGGCUGCCGGUCAGACUGGUGGGCUCGAGCACGGUAGAGGCGGAUGGAAUUCCCGGUGUAGCGGUGGAAUGCGUAGAGAUCGGGAAGAAUACCGGUGGCGAAGGCGUUCCGCUGGGCCGUUGCUGACGCUGAGGCGCGACAGCGUGGGGAGCAAACAGGAUUAGAAACCCCCGUAGUCC